RNAcentral lists this ribosomal RNA (445 nucleotides) under uncultured bacterium. RNAcentral's name for it is "bacterial SSU rRNA". It matches the Rfam family "Bacterial small subunit ribosomal RNA", at positions 330 to 792 of the family's 1533-position model. The record is from RNAcentral.
GCCAGACUCCUACGGGAGGCAGCAGUGGGGGAUAUUGCACAAUGGGGGGAACCCUGAUGCAGCGACGCCGCGUGGGUGAAGAAGCGCCUCGGCGCGUAAAGCCCUGUCAGCAGGGAAGAAAAUGACGGUACCUGAAGAAGAAGCCCCGGCUAACUACGUGCCAGCAGCCGCGGUAAUACGUAGGGGGCAAGCGUUAUCCGGAUUUACUGGGUGUAAAGGGGGCGCAGACGGCGAUGCAAGCCAGGAGUGAAAGCCCGGGGCCCAACCCCGGGACUGCUCUUGGAACUGCGUGGCUGGAGUGCAGGAGGGGCAGGCGGAAUUCCUGGUGUAGCGGUGAAAUGCGUAGAUAUUAGGAGGAACACCAGUGGCGAAGGCGGCUUUCUGGCUCAUAACUGACGCUGAGGCGCGAAAGCGUGGGGAGCAAACAGGAUUAGAUACCCGGGUA